This 3274-nucleotide ribosomal RNA is filed under the name metagenome. Its description in RNAcentral is "bacterial LSU rRNA". It matches the Rfam family "Bacterial large subunit ribosomal RNA". The record is from RNAcentral.
UCAAGUUAUGAAGGGCUCAUGGUGGAUGCCUUGGCGCCAGAAGGCGAUGAAGGACGUGGUCAGCUGCGAUAAGCCUCGGGGAGCUGCAAACAAGCUUCGAUCCGGGGAUUUCCGAAUGGGGCAACCUGCUGCGGGUCAUGCCGCAGCACCUGCAGCCCAAAACCAUUAAGCUGCAGGGGUCAUACCCGGGGAACUGAAACAUCUUAGUACCCGGAGGAAAAGAAAGCAACAUGCGAUUCCCUAAGUAGCGGCGAGCGAACGGGGAGGAGCCCAAACCGGGCCGGUGUAUGAGCUUACCGGCGCUGCUGGUCCGGGGUUGUGGGGCCGGUUUUUAAGGCGGGCGGUAACCUGCCUUUAAGAGUGAUCAACCGUUUUGGUAGGCGAAGACGCCUGGAAAGGCGCACCGCAGAAGGUAACAGUCCUGUAGCCGAAACUGAAGCGGCUCUUAGAACCGGUUCCCGAGUAGCACGGGGCACGAGGAAUCCCGUGUGAACCAGGGAGGACCACCUUCCAAGGCUAAAUACUAGCUGGCGACCGAUAGCGGAUAGUACCGUGAGGGAAAGGUGAAAAGCACCCCGGGAGGGGAGUGAAAUAGAACCUGAAACCAUGAGCUUACAAGCAGUCAGAGUCCUAUAUCCAGCACUCAACUGUUUCUAUUCAACAUUACUCGAAGGCGAAGAAGUUGCAUGCCGGUAAAGCGGCUGGAAGCAGUUGAGGGGAUAUGUCAAAGCAUCGGCAGAGCUGUUUUUUAAGGAGUAGAAACAGUUGAGUGCUGGAUGGGAUGAUGGCGUACUUUUUGUAGAACGGGCCGGCGAGUUACGGUCGGUAGCGAGGUUAAGGGAUUAUGUCCUGGAGCCGCAGCGAAAGCGAGUCUUAACAGGGCGUUUAGUUACCGGCUGUAGACCCGAAACCGGGUGAUCUACCCAUGGCCAGGGUGAAGCUCGGGUGAUGCCGAGUGGAGGCCCGCACCCACCGAUGUUAAAAAAUCGGGGGAUGAGCUGUGGGUAGGGGUGAAAAGCCAACCGAACCCGGAGAUAGCUGGUUCUCCCCGAAAUAGCUUUAGGGCUAGCCUCGGGGGUUCAGUUGCGGAGGUAGAGCACUGACUGGGCUAGGGGCCCAACAAGGUUACCGAACUCACUCAAACUCCGAAUGCCGCAACUUCAUACCCCGGGAGUCAGACUGCGGGUGAUAAGAUUCGUGGUCGAAAGGGAAACAGCCCAGACCGUCGGCUAAGGUCCCCAAGUGCAGGCUCAGUGGGAAAGGAUGUGGAGCUGCCCGGACAACCAGGAUGUUGGCUUAGAAGCAGCCACCAUUUAAAGAGUGCGUAAUAGCUCACUGGUCAAGUGGUUCUGCGCCGAAAAUGUAACGGGGCUAAGCCUGCCACCGAAGCCACGGCUUCAAGAGGCAAGAUGCCAGAGGCAAGAGACAAGACACACUUUGGAAUCUUUGCGAGAAUAAUCUUGAUUCCUGUCUCUUAUUUCUUGCAUCUUGCUUCUGGUAUCUUGCCUCUUGGGGGGUAGGGGAGCGUUCUGCAUGCGUUGAAGCUGUACCGGAAGGAGCGGUGGAGCGUGCAGAAGUGAGAAUGCCGGCAUGAGUAACGAUAAGACAGGUGAGAAUCCUGUCCGCCGCAAGCCUAAGGUUUCCUGAGGAAGGUUCGUCCGCUCAGGGUAAGCCGGGACCUAAGCCGAGGCCGGAUGGCGUAGGCGAUGGACAACUGGUGGAAAUUCCAGUGCCACCUGGAGACCGCUAUGAGCGAUGGGGUGACGCAGGAGGGUAGGCGCAGCGCACCGUUGGUUGAGUGCGUCCAAGCGUGUAGGGAGAGCCGGCAGGCAAAUCCGCCGGCUUGCCAAUCCCGAGGCGCGAUGGGGAGCGAAAAUUUUAAGUAGCGAACUGGCUGAUCCCAUGCUGCCGAGAAAAGCCUCUAGCCAGGUCUUUGGGUGCCCGUACCGUAAACCGACACAGGUAGGCGGGGAGAGUAUCCUCAGGCGCGCGGGAAAACCCUCGUUAAGGAACUCGGCAAAUUGACCCCGUAACUUUGGGAGAAGGGGUGCCCCGGUAGGGUGAGCACUUUUGCGGUGCAAGCCCGAGGGGGCCGCAGUGAAUAGGCCCAAGCGACUGUUUAUCAAAAACACAGGUCUCUGCGAAGUCGAAAGACGAUGUAUAGGGACUGACGCCUGCCCAGUGCUGGAAGGUUAAGGAAAAGGGUUAUUCAGCACUUUAAGCUUAGUCUUAAGUGCUGAAGAAGCUCUGAACCUAAGCCCCAGUAAACGGCGGCCGUAACUAUAACGGUCCUAAGGUAGCGAAAUUCCUUGUCGGGUAAGUUCCGACCCGCACGAAAGGCGUAACGACUUGGGCGCUGUCUCGACGAGGGACCCGGUGAAAUUGAAUUGCCCGUGAAGAUGCGGGCUACCCACGACAAGACGGUAAGACCCCGUGGAGCUUUACUGUAGCCUGAUAUUGGGUCUUGGUGUUAAAUGUACAGGAUAGGUGGGAGGCUUCGAAGCCGGGGCGCCAGCUUCGGUGGAGCCGUCCUUGGGAUACCACCCUUUUAAGAUCGGGAUUCUAACCUGGGGCCGUGAACCGGUCCGGGGACAGUGUCAGGUGGGCAGUUUGACUGGGGCGGUCGCCUCCUAAAAGGUAACGGAGGCGCCCAAAGGUUCCCUCAGCGCGGUUGGGAAUCGCGCGCAGAGUGUAAAGGCACAAGGGAGCUUAACUGUAAGAGAGACAUCUCGAGCAGGGUCGAAAGACGGGCUUAGCGAUCCGGCGGUUCCGAGUGGAAGGGCCGUCGCUCAACGGAUAAAAGCUACCCCGGGGAUAACAGGCUUAUCUCCCCCAAGAGUCCACAUCGACGGGGAGGUUUGGCACCUCGAUGUCGGCUCAUCGCAUCCUGGGGCUGGAGAAGGUCCCAAGGGUUGGGCUGUUCGCCCAUUAAAGCGGUACGUGAGCUGGGUUCAGAACGUCGCGAGACAGUUCGGUCCCUAUCUGUCGUGGGCGCAGGAAACUUGAGAGGGGCUGCCCCUAGUACGAGAGGACCGGGGUGGACGGACCGAUGGUGUACCAGUUGUCCCGCCAGGGGCACAGCUGGGUAGCUAUGUCCGGAAAGGAUAAGCGCUGAAAGCAUCUAAGCGCGAAGCCUGCCUCAAGAUAAGGUUUCCCACCCGGCACUGCGGUGCCGGGGUAAGACCCCAGGAAGAUGACCUGGUUGAUAGGCCGGGAGUGUAAGGGCAGCAAUGCCUUUAGCGGACCGGUACUAAUCGGUCGAGGACUUGAUCUG